CGGGAAGUUUGUGAUCCCUUUCUUUUCAAAACAUAAUAUACACAGGUAAAUAGAUGCAAGAUAUAAAAAAAUUGUACUAUAAGAGAAAUGGAUGUAAAACAUGAUUAAUUAUUUGUUGAAAUUGAAAUAGAGUAACAAACAACACAAAGAAUACAAUAUUAUACAGCAGGGUAGCAUGAUAACAUGAAUUAUUUCCCUAUAAGCAUAGACAGACAAAUUCAANNNNN
RNAcentral lists this long non-coding RNA (227 nucleotides) under Trifolium pratense (red clover). Its description in RNAcentral is "long non-coding RNA (TPRA_LNC001464)". The record is from RNAcentral. Lineage: Eukaryota; Viridiplantae; Streptophyta; Magnoliopsida; Fabales; Fabaceae.